UACGGAGGAUCCGAGCGUUAUCCGGAUUUAUUGGGUCUAAAGGGAGCGUAGGUGGAUUGUUAAGUCAGUUGUGAAAGUUUGCGGCUCAACCGUAAAAUUGCAGUUGAAACUGGCAGUCUUGAGUACAGUAGAGGUGGGCGGAAUUCGUGGUGUAGCGGUGAAAUGCUUAGAUAUCACGAAGAACUCCGAUUGCGAAGGCAGCUCACUGGACUGCAACUGACACUGAGGCUCGAAAGUGUGGGUAUCAAACAGG
This 253-nucleotide ribosomal RNA is filed under the name uncultured bacterium. RNAcentral's name for it is "partial 16S ribosomal RNA". It matches the Rfam family "Bacterial small subunit ribosomal RNA", at positions 524 to 776 of the family's 1533-position model. The record is from RNAcentral.